AGAGAGAGAUACAGAUUGGGUUCACUUUCCCAGAACCUCUUUGCUAAUCUCAGUUUUCCACUUUACAGUUAACACUCCUCUCUGCGUCCCAUCUCUCUCUAACUUUCUACGUAACAACACUCUCUCUCCUCUCUCUCAAUAAGAACUUGAAGAUUAGUGGAUUGGGCAAGCUGAAGAUAACAUGCUGAAAUAUUGGGGUUGAGCUUAAUUUGGAUUCUCUUCGCGCUCUCAAUGUUCUGAGGAUUUGAAUCAUCAGUUAUUAUUUUGAGAGGUAAAGAAGAUAGCAGAGUGUGUUACAGCCCUUGGUUGUUGGCCAUUUUUAAUUUGCAGGAUUUGAAUCAUCAGUCAUUAUUUGAGAGGUAAAGGAGGUAUCAGUGUGUUGCGGCCCUUGGUUGGUGGACAAGUUUAAUUUACAGGAUCUUUCGAGGGAGGAAAUCUUCACAUCAAGUUGUCUUGGCAAAGAUUACCUCCACCAUCACUACGGUUUUGGAUUGUUAAUGGUGGUUAUCUGGUUUUGAUUUUGGGUUUGAUUUGUAAUGGGUCCAUUGGGCUAGGCUUGCAUGCCUUUCUUUGCUCUUUGUUGGGCUUUGGUUAUGUCCUUUAGGACUGGUUUUGGCUGAAGGCCCGUUUUCAUGCAUGUGCAUCGAUUAAUGUGUUACUUUUGAUCAGCAACGGUUUCUCGAUACAUCCGUACACGUCAUUUUUUACCCACAUAAAUACUAGGAUGUAUCGAACUUUCAGCUCUCUGUCGCAAAUCAAAAUAGAUAUAUGAUAGAUGAAAGGUGUAACAGCCACCUCGUUGUAGUUUCUGCUGAUCACCGGAUUGCAGACUGGUUCCAGUCGGGUGUAUUUCUUCCUUUGGGGAUGUUGGACUCCAUUGAGUUUGUUGCUUCUUUUUGGGCUGGGCUGGCUCUCAUUGGGCUGGGCUUUGUACUAUCAACAUAGCCUUCCUCAGGCUAUUAUUGUACAUCUUUUCUUUUAUAUAUUUAAUUUAACUUUACCUUUAAAAAAAAAAAAAAAAAAUUUCAUAUCCAUGUUUGAUAAUAUUGUAAUCUCAGCAUUCAAUGUGUAUUCCUGAAUAAUCUCAUUUUUCAAUUAUUCAACCAUUUCAUUUUACCAAGUUUAAUGUUAGUCAGAUUAGUCAACAUUUAUAUAUUUUGAUGCAACGAUAAGAUGUUAUUUGUAACAAGUUGUUUUGUUGGUUGGUUGUCAGAAUUGAGAAAUUCUAUGUCUCGGAUCUUUAGUAUUCUUUUAUUUUAAGAGAGAAUGUGCAUCAACCGUACAAAAGUUGAACAAAACUUCAGUGCAUUUAAAAUGUGACGAUAUAAGGGGACAGCUUGUAACGAUUCUAAUACACUCAAUUUUACCCUCAGACCCCACUCA
This is a long non-coding RNA of Cornus florida, 1383 nucleotides long. RefSeq lists it as uncharacterized. The transcript is spliced from 5 exons. NCBI's taxonomy places the organism in Eukaryota, Viridiplantae, Streptophyta, Magnoliopsida, Cornales, Cornaceae. The record is from RefSeq and is a predicted model, not a curated record.